This 104-nucleotide small nuclear RNA is filed under the name Pteropus vampyrus (large flying fox). The record is from RNAcentral. Lineage: Eukaryota; Metazoa; Chordata; Mammalia; Chiroptera; Pteropodidae.
GUGCUCGCUUUGGCAGCACAUAUACUAAAAUAGGAACAAUACAGAAAUUAGCAUGGCCCCUGCACAAGGAUGAUACGCACAUUUGUGAAGCAUUCCAUAAUUUU